This 454-nucleotide ribosomal RNA is filed under the name uncultured bacterium. Its description in RNAcentral is "partial 16S ribosomal RNA". It matches the Rfam family "Bacterial small subunit ribosomal RNA", at positions 28 to 507 of the family's 1533-position model. The record is from RNAcentral.
GAUGAACGCUGACAGAAUGCUUAACACAUGCAAGUCAACUUGAACUUCGGUUUGGGUGGCGGACGGGUGAGUAACGCGUAAAGAACUUGCCUCACAGAUAGGGACAACAUUUGGAAACGAAUGCUAAUACCUGAUAUUAUGAUUAUAUGGCAUCGUAUAAUUAUGAAAGCUAUAUGCGCUGUGAGAGAGCUUUGCGUCCCAUUAGCUAGUUGGAGAGGUAACGGCUCACCAAGGCGAUGAUGGGUAGCCGGCCUGAGAGGGUGAUCGGCCACAAGGGGACUGAGACACGGCCCUUACUCAUAAGGGAGGCAGCAGUGGGGAAUAUUGGACAAUGGACCAAGAGUCUGAUCCAGCAAUUCUGUGUGCACGAUGAAGUUUUUCGGAAUGUAAAGUGCUUUCAGUUGGGAAGAAAAAAAUGACGGUACCAACAGAAGAAGUGACGGCUAAAUACGUG